RNAcentral lists this ribosomal RNA (466 nucleotides) under uncultured bacterium. Its description in RNAcentral is "partial 16S ribosomal RNA". It matches the Rfam family "Bacterial small subunit ribosomal RNA", at positions 28 to 507 of the family's 1533-position model. The record is from RNAcentral.
GACGAACGCUGGCGGCGUGCUUAACACAUGCAAGUCGAACGGAAAGGCCCUGCUUGCAGGGUCCUCGAGUGGCGAACGGGUGAGUAACACGUGGGUGAUCUGCCCUGCACUUCGGGAUAAGCUUGGGCAACUGGGUCUAAUACCGGAUAGGAGCCAUCUUUAGUGUGGUGGUUGGAAAGUUUUUUCGGUGUAGGAUGAGCUCGCGGCCUAUCAGCUUGUUGGUGGGGUAAUGGCCUACCAAGGCGGCGACGGGUAGCCGGCCUGAGAGGGUGUACGGCCACACUGGGACUGAGAGACGGCCCAGACUCCGACGGGAGGCAGCAGUGGGGAAUAUUGCACAAUGGGCGCAAGCCUGAUGCAGCGACGCCGCGUGGGGGAUGAAGGCCUUCGUGUUGUAAACUCCUUUCGCUAGGGACGAAGCUUUGUUGUGACGGUACCUAGAUAAGAAGCACCGGCUAACUACGUG